AGGAGCCGGAUGAGUCGAGAGAUUCACGUCCGGUUCUGUGAGCGCCUGGAGGGGCAGUUCCUCCGGGCGACUCGAC
This 76-nucleotide non-coding RNA is filed under the name Roseateles saccharophilus. Lineage: Bacteria; Pseudomonadati; Pseudomonadota; Betaproteobacteria; Burkholderiales; Sphaerotilaceae. The record is from RNAcentral.